Long non-coding RNA from Pan troglodytes (chimpanzee), 2918 nucleotides. RefSeq lists it as uncharacterized. The transcript is spliced from 3 exons. Lineage: Eukaryota; Metazoa; Chordata; Mammalia; Primates; Hominidae. The record is from RefSeq and is a predicted model, not a curated record.
CCACAGGUUUUAUUUUUUUCCUUUAACAAAAGAAGGACUUUCCUCCUCAUUACAUAGAUCACAGCUUAUUACGUCCAAAGCGUAUUUCCGUGGUCUGUUUAUGGAAAUCAGCGUUUAGAAGGAGAAUUUUUUUGAGGUUACAUGUGCUUUUUAUACAAGCAAUGGGGCAGUGACACUCCUAUGGAGUUAGUCCUUUUAAAGCUCUGCAAAUGGCUAUUAGCCCUUAGGUUUGAGAAGGGAGUGAAACUUACCUGAUGGGCCACCUGGACCCUCCAGGUCUCUCCCUACCUGGCGCCCUCUCCAAAUCCUGUGUGCCUAAUCCUGAGGGGGCGUUAGCAGCACUCAACUUGCUUUGUUUAUCUGGGGUGAUGUUCCUCUGAGCAAAAUCCGUAAGUGUUUUUUUUGUGUGGGAAAUGAAAAGCCAAAUAAGAGUGUAAGUGAAAAAGUGAGCUAUGUCCUCUCAAAGCGUACGUCAUCCAUUUUUAUGUUGCUGAUUAUACAAUUUCUAAAUUGCCUGAAGGUGUUAAGUGACAACUUUUGAAUUUGCUAUUGGAACUCUACAAAUUAUAUAUACAAUAACAUACAUUAUUUUUAGAGGAGAGUUAUGAAACACCUCUGAUACCUCUUUUCAGUCUCAAAAGCUGAGGCGGAGAAAGCGCAGAUGUUCAUCAGCCCAUUUAAAAGGUGAGGAAGGGAAGUCUCAAAGAGGUGGAGGAGGAGUUCAAGUUCACACAGCUGGCCAGAGAUGACUCAAGGCCUCCAACCCUGACUCUGAACUCCUGGGUCAGGGCAGCAAGACGACUUGUCAAAAUCCAGGCAGACAUCAUUGAGAAAUAUACACAAGUGGUUUCCCCUCACUCCACACAGAGACCUUAACACCUCUCUAUUCUCCAUCAUCAGCUGCAGUCAAUGAACCAUAUAAAUGCAAACUUCAGAAAUGCUAAAGUCUCAUAAGCAAUUUUUAAAGGUAUUAAAAUACAAAACAGAAGUAAACAAAAUUUCUUGCCCCAGGGAACUAACUAAUCCAAAGUGAAAAAAUAAUGGAAGUUUGAAUGCAGUCUCAAAAGUGGCCAUAAAAUGGAAUUCAGAAUUUUAUUUUAAUGUGUAUACUACAUACUUGCUUUGCCAAGGAUGACUGGUAGUAAAUUCUCAUUUAUAAAACUAAGCUAUAAAAUAAAAAAAGAAAUAGUGGAAUGAGAGGCAAGAGCGCGCAAGCAAGAGCAGGUGUGAACGGUUGCAUGCGAUGGCAUUCGUCACAGCUGGGGUAUCAGAGAGAGUCAGAUCCUAGGUCAGAUGCACCAUAGGGGUCCCAGGAUAGUCCAUCGCCCCUCCCCCAGGACUGGCCUUGGCAUGUAACCCCAGCAGCUCCAGGCAGCUGUCUUUCGGCGGAACUUCUAGGAGUGGGGGCACCCAUCAGCGCUAACCUGCGGGGCUCCAGCUGAGGACAGUCUGGCCGUGGGAGUUUAUAAAGUAAUGGACAACAGGCAAUGCUCUUCCUGCCCAACAGCAGUGGUCAGAGGGACAGAUCUAUCCUCACAGAGACUGUCAGGCACUGUCGCUACAGACACGGCCCCUCCCCCGGCACUCAGUCCUGCCUGCCUUACACAGGAGGACAGGAAAGGAACUUCCAAUGAGUCCAUCUUUUAUGUUAGGAGAGAGGCAAGGUGCUGAGUUUCCCAUCCGGGGAGUUCAGCUGCACCCUCUCCCCAGCCCCCACCUCCCUGACUUCCUCUCCUCCCUACUACCCCUAACCAGUGGCCCAUCAUUCCUUUCCCAGUCAGUCUUGGCUGUGAUGUUAAGCGGCUCUGCUGGACCCCAUAUUUUGUCUGGUCUCUAAAAGGGCACUGACCUGAGGGUACAAAUGCAGAGGCCCCGGGGCAGCUAGGCAGCCGCGAGCAACCCAGCACCCAGCUGCCUAGGGUGCUCCAGGCAGCGGCGGCAGCAGCUCGGAGCUGGUGUCAUUAUUACACAAGCCAGGCAAAUCCUGCUCCAGUACACAGAGCGCAUCUAACCAGCAGGAAGGAAAUAAGCCAAAAUCCUCCCGACACCACACACACACACACACACACACACACACACACACACACACACACACACGAGUCUGAGGACAAGGACAAACACUUUGCAGAAAGAACCCUCCCCCCACCCCACCAACGUCCAAGUCCCUGUUUCAGGAUUCCUCACCCCCCAGUAGCUUCUAAAAUCCUCGUGUUUGACCACCUCUCCCAACACAUGGGACAGAGAGAAUUUGGCUAACUUCAAAUCCUGUCUCCUGAGCACUUGCCCACAAAUAGUAGGGGGAGUGAUGGGGACGCCCCCCUGUUCCCUCCACCACCCUCACUUCUGCCCCCCACGCCACUCUCAGGUUGACAGCGUCGGGGAAAGACAUCAGACCAUCAAUCCAGUUUUUCCUGCCAGCUGGGGAAACAACACUCGGUCACUAACAGCACCCAGUCACCUAGACAGCGAGAGUGAGCCGAGGCAAACACGCCGGGUUCCAGACACCGUCCCAGCCCCCGCGACCCGGGUUUGCAAAGGGCUGCACACGUUCGCCGGAGGGUCGCUGCCGCCUCCGAGAAAGGACUUGAACCUGAGCCCGCUGAAGAAUCACUCACUCUGGAGGAAGCCAGACAUCAUGCUAUAAGGACCCUUUUGCAGCUGUGUAAGAGACCAUGUGAAGGGCAGCCGAGGUCUUCUGUCAAUGCCAGCAUCAACUCAGCAUCAACUCGCCAGCCAUGCAUGAAGAGAAAGCGGGCUCAGAGAAAGGAGACAGAGGGACACAAAGAUGAGGGAGACCACACGGCUCUGAAGGGUGGUGAGACGGCUCUGUUCCAGGCACUGUUCCUGUUGUCUGCAGGUCAGCUACUCUUCCUGCUCUCCAUUCUGUGGUGGUGUGAGAUGUUACUAUAACCUUCCAA